This 802-nucleotide ribosomal RNA is filed under the name uncultured bacterium. RNAcentral's name for it is "bacterial SSU rRNA". It matches the Rfam family "Bacterial small subunit ribosomal RNA", at positions 8 to 808 of the family's 1533-position model. The record is from RNAcentral.
AGAGUUUGAUCCUGGCUCAGGAUGAACGCUGGCGGCGUGCUUAACACAUGCAAGUCGAACGAAGCACUUUAUUUGAUUUCCUUCGGGACUGAUUAUUUUGUGACUGAGUGGCGGACGGGUGAGUAACGCGUGGGUAACCUGCCUUGUACAGGGGGAUAACAGUUGGAAACGGCUGCUAAUACCGCAUAAGCGCACGGCAUCGCAUGAUGCAGUGUGAAAAACUCCGGUGGUAUAAGAUGGACCCGCGUUGGAUUAGCUAGUUGGUGAGGUAAUGGCCCACCAAGGCGACGAUCCAUAGCCGACCUGAGAGGGUGACCGGCCACAUUGGGACUGAGACACGGCCCAAACUCCUACGGGAGGCAGCAGUGGGGAAUAUUGCACAAUGGGCGAAAGCCUGAUGCAGCGACGCCGCGUGAGCGAAGAAGUAUUUCGGUAUGUAAAGCUCUAUCAGCAGGGAAGAUAAUGACGGUACCUGACUAAGAAGCACCGGCUAAAUACGUGCCAGCAGCCGCGGUAAUACGUAUGGUGCAAGCGUUAUCCGGAUUUACUGGGUGUAAAGGGAGCGCAGGCGGUGCGGCAAGUCUGAUGUGAAAGCCCGAGGCUCAACCCCGGUACUGCAUUGGAAACUGUCGUACUAGAGUGUCGGAGGGGUAAGCGGAAUUCCUAGUGUAGCGGUGAAAUGCGUAGAUAUUAGGAGGAACACCAGUGGCGAAGGCGGCUUACUGGACGAUAACUGACGCUGAGGCUCGAAAGCGUGGGGAGCAAACAGGAGUAGGUACCCUGGUAGUCCACGCCGUAAACG